Molecule: long non-coding RNA, 11775 nt
Filed under: Daucus carota (carrot)
Lineage: Eukaryota; Viridiplantae; Streptophyta; Magnoliopsida; Apiales; Apiaceae
Description: long non-coding RNA (DCAR_LNC005397)
Source: RNAcentral
AGGAACGAGAAUUUAGAGGAAAUUUCGCUUCACUUAACAUGAUAGAUCUUUCCAGCAAUAAAUUUACCGGAGAAUUUCCUACUGGAAUAGCAAGGCUUCUGGAUCUCAAAGGAUUGAACCUCUCGAGGAAUCAAUUUUAUGGAAAAGUUCCUGUACAAAUUGGUAGACUAUUUGAGUUGGAAGUUCUUGAUCUGUCCAGUAACAAUUUUUCAGGUGACAUCCCUCGAAGUAUGACUGGUUUAACUUUCCUUGCUUAUUUAGAUCUCUCAAGCAAUAACUUUUCAGCAAGAAUCCCAUUAGGAGGUCAACUGCAGGCAUUCAAUUCUUCCAUGUAUGAGGGGAAUCCUGGACUCUGUGGCUUGCCACUCACAAAAAGAUGUCCGGGAGAUAAAACAAGGGUCGAAGUUCCCCCACCAUCUAAUGGAAAUGAAGUUGAUGAAGACGAGAUUUUAUAUGAGAGAUGGUUAUAUAUAAGUACAGCCCUUGGUUUCAGCACUAGUUUUUGGGGAAUCUGUGUAACUCUACUUGUUAACAGGCGCUGGAGACAUGCAUAUUUCCUGUUCUUAACGAACUUAAAGGAUCAGCUUUAUGUGUUCAUAAUAGUGCACAUUGCUAGAUUGAAGGUAAGGCUUCAAGGUUGAGUUCAAGGUAAUUAAUAUAAAUACUUCUUUUCUCUGAAUAUUUGUUUUUUGUUUGAAGGCAGACAGAAAAUUUGAAAGUACAUAUGAAGCAAUCUCAUUUUGGUAGCAAUAUAUCCUGUGUAAUGAUAUCUUUAGAUAUUGUUUUCUUCAUUUGAUGAUAUUUUCUUUGUUUGUAAAUAUCUUUAGAUUUGUGAAUGAUGAAAUGGUAUCCACCACACCCUUUUGUAUUUUUCCGCCUAUGCUCCUUGUGUUAACAACCUUGUGCAUUUUGUUUAACUACUUGAUUCUCUUUGAAGCUAACCAGAGCAUUAUAUCUGUAUUUGCUUUCACAGGGAGGCCACCAAGAGAAAAGGCCAUGUUUCAGCCUUGCCCCUUUCAAGACUGGGCUUUGAUUCAUUAAACUCUUUAUUGCAGUUAGUAGAGUAUGGGAAUGUAUCGCCCUUUAGUUGUGCACUUCCGAUCUUAGAGAUGGCUUCUUCAGCUCGUUGAUCAUCGUCACCUAAUAUACCAUUGUCAUGACAUGUGUUGUUGAUAGGUUCAUCAGCUAAUAUACCAUUGUGCAUCUUGAAAAUCUUAUAAUAAGAAAUUCGAGAGUGUAACCAUGAUCUGUACAAUGAGAAGAGCUAUCAAAAACACAUGCAGAUGUCUCUAAAUUGUAUUUAAUUUCAUCUUCUUUAUUUUGCAUUUGAAUUUAGCUUAAAUUUAAAGUAUAUAUCUUUUGUUUUUGCAUAAACACAUGUUAAUGCUUUGUGUGUUCUUAAUUCAUGAAAUAAUGUAGGUGUCUAGAUAUUUUUUCUGAGUUUUGGAUUGUUAUCCAACAGUCAGGAGUCCAGUUCCCGUUUUCAUAAUUAAAAUUUUUUUCUCUUGUAUGUGUUGUCACUCAUAUAAUUUCUUUUGAAAUAUGUUGGUUGUGUUUGUGAAAGUGUUGAUCGCUGACAAUUUCUCUUGUAUGUGUUGUCACAUACAAUUUCUGAGUUUGUGAAAAAUUUAUUAUAUAUUUAAAUUAUCACUCACCUAAAAUUAUUAAAAAAUUUGAUAUAAAUAUGGUUUGUUAAGUUUGAACAUAAGAUAUUAGCCUUUGAAGUCAUAACAAGGCAACUGCAUAACGGCUACAAAGCCUGGUAAAUAUUUGGUUUAGAAUCUGCCAGGAGAUGCUGAUUAAGGCCACCGUAAACCAGUUAAGGUCACUAAAAUGUCCCUGUCCACUGUAACUCAAACCUUUUGGUACGUUACUAAAAGAAAAUACAUUUCUCCAAGAGCAACUACAAUGCUCACGAUCAUUUUCCGCUUUUUUUAGCCCCCAAGUGUCACGACACCACCGGACUGUUAAAGUAUUCACUGUAAUUCAAGUAUUUCUGAUCCCUUCAGCCUUAAUUCUUACAACUUUUGACACUAUUUGAAAUAUGGAUUUUAGCUCUUUGCACCUGAAGUUGUUGUUAUAUACGUCUUGCCAUUGGAUUUGGCACAUUCCUAUCCAUUGAUUGCUUGGUUUUACAUCUUGGGACACGCAUUCAAGUGCGUGUCGAGCAUAGGAAAAAAAACCUACAGAAUUAAAUGGGACAGAGGGAGUAUAUGUUAACAAAAAAUCGAAUAUGGCGGAAAUCAAAUUAUCAUACACUUAAAAGUGAACCAUAUAAAACUGUAAACAAACUAAAAACAAUAAAAAUUGAUAUAAAUUGUAUGAUUCUUGUUAUAGGUAGGAAUCAAAUUGAAAGAAACCCAUAUGAAAAUUAUUGUAUUUUUAUUUAUAAAUUUAUACUCCCUCCGUCCCUUUUUACAUGUCCAUUUUAAGAAAAAAAUGUCCCAAAUUACUUGUCCAGUUAUCUUUUCAAAGCAAUUUUUUGUAUGUUUUUUCAAAAAGUAACAACUUCCAAUGUUUGACCAGCAUAUAUAUAUAUACUCCCUCCGUCCCAUUUUAACUGUUUUUGACUUUUUUACACGUAUUGUAAGAUGUUAAAAAAAUCAUAUCUAAACAUAGUUAUUCUUUAUAAAAUUUAUAUCAAAUUAAACUUUGGAAUCUAAACUUUUAUUUUAUAUAAGAAUUGAACUUUUUUAUUGAGUGUAGCUAUUGUUUUUUUACGCCUCAAUAUACGUGUUCAAAAGUCAAACACCAGUUAAAAUGGGACAGAGGGAGUACACAACUCUAUCUAAUUCAUUACAUUUAUUAGGAAUUUGUAUGAAAACAAGAUAUCCAACUAACAGUUUCUUAAGAUGCGUUAAUUUUUCAAAAGAGACAAGUAAAAUGGGACGGAGGGAGUAUAAAUUUUAAUUUAAUAAGUACAUAUAAAGGGGCACCAAGUAAAUUUUCGAAAAACACCUAUAUAGUUUUGAAUUUUGCGGGAGCACUUCUAUAAUUUUGCAAAAUUUAGAAUGGUGAAAAAAUGUAAAAAAAAAAAAAAUUUAAGGGGGACACGUGUCCUCCGUGCCUCUUCCUAGAUCCGCCCCUGCAUACAGUGACACCGUUGGCUGCAUGUCUAUUCGUUUCAAAGUUAAAGCUGGCAAGCCAACUGCCUUGAGCAGGGUCUUUAUAGUUGAUGUAAUAAUUCCUUCCGUUUAAUAUGGAGGAAGACAUGUAAAGACUUGAGCCAAACUCAAGUCUUUAGUUGACUGACUUUCUAAUAUUAGUUGACUCACCCAGAUUACAAGUAAUAAUCAAGUAUACUGAGAGCCACUGAGGUCAUAAUCAAAGUACAUAUUUAUCUUUAUUUUAUAGUUUUAUAAUUAAAUUAAUAUUCUAUAUUUAUAAUAAAUCAGUACUAUAUAUCUUACAGAAAAUACUCUCCUAUGUCCCAGCAGGUUCUUUAUAUUACUUUGUGGCACGCAUUUUAUCUAUAAAGUAUAAUUUUAUAGUACUUUUUUUAAAAAACAAUUCCAGAAUAAAGUUAGACAUUUAAAUUUUUAUUCAAAAAAAAUAUAAUCAAACUAAAUUAUAUAAGAGUUUCAAAAUGUGUUGGUACUAAAUAUCUAUAUGUUACGAAAAGAAUUCAUUCAGUUUUAUCAAUAUGGCUAUGAGGAAUGCUAUGCAUGCUUGGUUUGUAGUUUUUGGUAUGCUAUGCAUGGAAACAAUCUUAGCAUCAUCAGAGCUGGAUUCAAACAAGACGAUGGUGAAUAAUCAUAGUUGCUAAAUACAGUUCAUUUUUGCUUUGUGCAGUUCACAGAGAUUACAAGUAUACCCUUGUGUGAAUGGUAUACAAAAUAAAUGUAGCCCUAGUUUUCUGUGCAGGUGAACAGGUGCAGCCCUAGUUUUUUGUGCAGCUGAACAGGAUUAAUCCACGCAAUCAAUACAAUCAAUACAUGCAUGCACUAACUAACUAAUACAAUUAACAUCUUUUUUCAAUCUUUAACUAAUGCAUGAAUAUUGUUUUACAUACAUUCUUUUUAUUUUUUUCAAAUCAGUAAUACAUGCAUGUUAAUAUAUUCAUGCAUGUUAAUAAAUAAAUUUGAUCGUACAUAUUCUAUCUUUUCUAUAUAAAAAGAACUCAUAGAUUUCAUUAUUUUUGUUAACAUAUCAAGCACACACUAUACUAACAUAUAUAUACAAACACUACGUACGAGUUAAAGGUGGCUAUAUUUUACAUACUUCUCGAAGGUUGGAGGCUUAUACUUUAAAACUACACAUCCAGGAGCUCAUAUCUUGUGCUUGUCUAUCUUGAUUAAGGUACUAGUUAAGCAUAUAUUAUAUUAAUAUAAGUUUUUUUUAUAUUACAUAGAUUGUUUACUAAUAAAGUGAUUCUGUUGUUUUGUGUUUACAGACAAAUUGUUUCUAUAAUUAUGGAUGAAAAAGAUGAAAAAGAAGAUUAUUCUGAAAAAGAAGAAUAUUCUGAAAAAGAAGAAAAAGAAGAUUAUUCUGUAAGUUUUACCUAAUCAUUUGUUAAUAUCUGUUAGAUUAUAUUUAAAUGUUGCUUAUUCAUUCUCAAUUUUAAUCAAAAAUAACUUAAAACUUCUGACGCUAUAUUAGGUUACAUUUCAUUUCUUUAUAUUAUAACCUUUAACUGGCCUAGGACUUUUAAUUAUAUAACCUUUAGUUGGCGUAGAAUAUUUAAUAUGUAUUAAAAAUUUAGAAAGAUAAUUUGUAUAUAUAAUGUUUAUUCAUAUAAUUUUUAUUUGACUUUAUAUAUAAUUUUUAUUAUUAAAAUAUUUCACUUUAUAUAUAAUUAAUCCACCUCUUUAAUUUUUUAUCGAUGGGUUUAAUUUUUUUUUUAUUUUGUUUAUUCUCAUUUAAUCACAACAAUUUAAAAUUUUGAAACUAUAUAACAUAAAAUAUUAAAAAGUUAACACUAGUGUUUGACAUAAUAUUAUAGUCAAAUAAAAAAUGCUUGAGUUUUUUAUAAUAUAACCUUUAGUUGACUUAAAAUCUUUAAUCUGUAUUUAGAAUUUAGAAAGAUAAUUAGUAUAUAUAAUAUUUAUUUGUAUAAUUUUAAUUUAACUUUAUAUAUAAUUUUAUUAUUAAAAUAUUUGACUUUAUAUAUAAUGUUAUCCACCUCUUUAAUUUUUUAAUGACGUGUUUAAUUUUUUUACUUUGUUCAUAAUCAAAACAAAUUAAAAUCAAAAUAACAUAAAAUAUUAAAAACUUAACAGUAGUGUUUGCAUAAAAUUUUAGUCAAAAUAAAAUACUUGAGUUUUUUUAUAAUAUAACCUUUAGGUGGCCUAGAAUUUUUAAUAUGUAUUAAAAUUUAGAAUGAUAAUUUGUAAAUCAAGUAGUAAUGUUUCUUUGUAUUGAAAGUUUGUGUGCACCUACAGUAGCUCUUGUGUGUGGACAUCAUUAAAGAAAAUAAUAUGCUUAGAAUAUCAACGGUAUAUAGCUCUUGUGUAUGGACAUAAUUAAAGAAAAUAAUAUGCUUAGAAUAUCAACUUAUAGUAUAUAACAUAAGCAUCUUAGCCUGAUUUCUCUAAUAAAACUUUUACAGUAGUCUCUGUGGAACAAAUAUAUUCAAUAGUAGUCUCAAACACAAACACACAUACACCUGAAUAUUAAAAUUUUAGUCAAAAUAAAAUACUUGAGUUUUUUAUAAUAUAACCUUUAGGUGGCCUAGAAUCUUUAAUAUGUAUUAAAAUUUAGAAAGAUAAUUUGUAAAUCAAGUAGUAAUGUUUCUUUGUAUUGAAUGUUUGUGUGCACCUACAGUAGCUCUUGUGUGUGGACAUCAUUAAAGAAAAUAAUAUGCUUAGAAUAUCAACUUAUGGUAUAUAGCUCUUGUGUAUGGACAUAAUUAAAGAAAAUAAUAUGCUUAGAAUAUCAACUUAUAGUAUAUAACAUAAGCAUCUUAGCCUGAUUUCUCUAAUAAAACUUUUACAGUAGUCUCUGUGGAACAAAUAUAUGCAAUAGUAGUCUCAAACACACAUACACCUGAAUAUUAAAAUUUUAGUCAAAAUAAAAUACUUGAGUUUUUUAUAAUAUAACCUUUAGGUGGCCUAGAAUCUUUAAUAUGUAUUAAAAUUUAGAAAGAUAAUUUGUAAAUCAAGUAGUAAUGUUUCUUUGUAUUGAAUGUUUGUGUGCACCUACAGUAGCUCUUGUGUGUGGACAUCAUUAAAGAAAAUAAUAUGCUUAGAAUAUCAACUUAUGGUAUAUAGCUCUUGUGUAUGGACAUAAUUAAAGAAAAUAAUAUGCUUAGAAUAUCAACUUAUAGUAUAUAACAUAAGCAUCUUAGCCUGAUUUCUCUAAUAAAACUUUUACAGUAGUCUCUGUGGAACAAAUAUAUGCAAUAGUAGUCUCAAACACACAUACACCUGAAUAUUAAAAUUUUAGUCAAAAUAAAAUACUUGAGUUUUUUAUAAUAUAACCUUUAGGUGGCCUAGAAUCUUUAAUAUGUAUUAAAAUUUAGAAAGAUAAUUUGUAAAUCAAGUAGUAAUGUUUCUUUGUAUUGAAUGUUUGUGUGCACCUACAGUAGCUCUUGUGUGUGGACAUCAUUAAAGAAAAUAAUAUGCUUAGAAUAUCAACUUAUGGUAUAUAGCUCUUGUGUAUGGACAUAAUUAAAGAAAAUAAUAUGCUUAGAAUAUCAACUUAUAGUAUAUAACAUAAGCAUCUUAGCCUGAUUUCUCUAAUAAAACUUUUACAGUAGUCUCUGUGGAACAAAUAUAUGCAAUAGUAGUCUCAAACACACAUACACCUGAAUAUUUAUGUUAUUACUGAAAAUUGCAGGAUGUAUAUUUUGAUAUUGAUUCGAGCCCAUUAGUGAAUGUUGCUCACUUAUUCGAGACAGAUAAGUCAUUUAAUAGUCGACAUGACUUGGAAACAUAUGUUAAAGAUGUCGGGAAGAAUAACAAUAUUGGCAUAGUUGUUAUUUCUUCUAGAGGAGGCCAAGGCAAAGGACUGGGCGAUGCCAUUGUGUAUCUCGGUUGUGAACGAUCCUUACUUUAUCGUAAACACAAAGAUAAUCAGAAUAAACCUGAAGUUAAGAAGCGUAUUACUGGAACUAAAAGGUGUAAUUGUCCAUUUCGUCUCAAGGGUAAGGAAAAUUCAGGUGGAACAUGGAACUUGUUUGUGAUUGACGGGAAUCACAAUCACAACUUCCCUUCAUAUAAUGUGGGUCGUUCAAUAAUGAGCAGAUUGUCUGAGGAUGAGAAGAUCAAAGUAAAGGAGAUGACUCGAGCUCAUGUGCCUCCCUCUCAGAUUUUGAUUUCUAUAAAGAAUGAAAACAAGGAGAAUUUGACGACAAUGAAACAAAUGUACAAUUACAGGCAAGCAAUAAGAAAAGAAGAUAUGGAAGGUCGAUCGGUUGUUCAACAACUUUUGAGUUGUUUGAGUAAAGAAUCUUAUUUCUACUCAUAUAGAGCUUCAUCCACUACUGACAUGGUUACUGAUUUGUUUUUUGCAAAUAAAAAGGCAGCUCAACUUCUGCGUCAGUUUUAUUAUGUGCUAAUUAUGGAUUGCACAUACAAGACAAAUAAGUAUAAAAUGCCAUUGCUACAAAUAGUUGGAUGUGUUCCAACCGGGAGAAAUUUUGUUGUUGGAUUGGCAUUCUUACAAGAUGAGAAGAAAGACAGUUUUGAGUGGGCCCUUCGAAAUGCAAGACUUCUUUUCGAUCCAAAUCAUCUUCCAGAAGUCAUCAUAACCGAUAGAGAAUAUGCCUUGAUUCAUGCAGUUGAUGAGGUCUUUUCUAGCAGUUAUCAUAUGUUGUGCACACGACAUAUCGCUAAAAAUGUGGAAGCUAGGGCAAAAAAUGAGACUAGGAGUCAUUUGUUUGCGCUUGGAGUUGUUGGUAAUUGGAACAGAAUGGUUUAUGCCGAAACAGAAGCAGAAUUUGAAGAAAGACUACAACAAUUUAAAAAGACUUAUGUCAAACAUCCAAAUCUACUCAUGUACAUCGAAAAUACGUGGUUGAUUCAUGUAAAAAAAUUUGUGCACGCUUAUACAAAUAAGGUGUUGCACUUUGGAAAUCGUACCACAAACAGGUAUUAAUUUUUCUUUACUAUUAUUUUGAUUUUCGUAAUCAUAAUAUUUUAUUGCGUUGUUUUAACUUGUUUUCUUUAACUAUAGGGUUGAGAGUGCCCAUAAUGCGUUAAAGAGAUUUCAUUGAGAGACGUUUAGAUUUUUGGGCGAGAGUGUGGAUCAAAAGUAUAGAUGAAGCAUGGACUACAUUACAUAAGAUUAACUAUUGUGAAAGUCCGUGUCCAAGACAAUAUUGGAUGUCUAUGGAUCAAAUGGGUCCAGCAAUUGCAACUAUGUAUAAUGUGAUUUUAGUUGUUUUAGACCAGAUACAAAUCGGUACUUUGACAUAUUUGCCAUUGUAUGCUCCACAAGGCACUACUAACCCGGAGAAAUUAAUUUGUGUUACAUUUCUACGCAAAUUUGAUCACUUUGUUUCGGUACGUAUAUAUAUCCCUCUGUAAUGUCUAUCAUGACUGAAUUAUUAACUCAUAUUAUACUCUUCUAAUAUUGUAAUCAUUAUUUUCAGGUCUCUAUGAUCAAUAAUUGUCCAGUUCCGGCGAUUGCUGGGUUUUGGUUCAAAUUACAUGAAGACUCUGUCAAUGGAUGGGAUGCUCCUCUAAAGGCUAGAGUCGAUGAAUGGAACUUAAUUCGUGGCUAAAAGUUUUAUUCGUGUUUAAUAUUGAAUAUUGUCACGUAUUUUAAUGUAUUUUUAAAUACAUUGUUAAAUAUGAAUUAUUAAUAUGAAUUUUAAAUGCAUUUUAAUGUGUUAAAUGUUUCUUGUAAGUGAAAGUGAUUUUUAAUAAUUUUUCUUGUAAUAUUAAUUAUUUUUCUUGUGAUUAAAUAUUACUCUUGCACACAAUUUUAAAAUAUAUUGAAUAUUUAUAAAAGUGAAUGAUUCUUUAAUAGUCAAUAAUAUAUUAAUUCAUAAUAGUAAAUAUGCAAAACUAAUUAGAUUAUUAAAAAUAUGAUAAUCAUAUUUUAUAAUAUUUAUUUUUGAAAAAAUAUACAUGUUUUAGAAUUAAAGCCUAAACAUUUUAAAACUUAAAAUUAAAAAUGUUAUGAAACAUAUAAAUCAAUCUGUAGCCUGUAGCGCAGUGGUUGACCUACCAUUACGUGAAACAACUAACACAUUGUAAUCAGCAGCAGAGUACAUUUACUAGGUUUCACACAUUUAAUAGGGUUAAGGGAUAUAGUUGUAAUCUCCGCGAACUGCACAAAGCAAAAGUGAACUGUAUUUAGCAACACCCUGAAUAAUAACAACAAGUGCAUUGAAACAGAGAGACUUGCUCUGCUCGACAUCAAACGAGGCCUUGUAGACACAUUUGGCAGUCUUUCUUCAUGGGGGAGCAGCAAACACGAGAAAGAUUGCUGCCAGUGGAGCUUUGUUAGGUGCGACCUCAACACUGGUCAUGUUACCCAUCUUCAUCUUUCAUAUCUUAAUCAGGGCCGUUCCAUACCUUUUGAGGGCCCAGGGGCGAAAGAAGAAAAUGGACCCUAUUUUGUUUACUUCACUAAAUUUGAUAAAAUAUGACCUCGUAGAAAUGUAAACUCAAAUUUUAGUCAACUUCCGUAAGAAAAUAACUAUAAAAUAAUCAAGUUUCACGAUAAAGUGUACACGAUGUAAAAAAAGAAGAUUAAACAAAUGUUUGAUGACAUUUAUUUGUUAGUGCAUGAUUGAUAGUACCAUUAUUUUAGGUACGGACGUAGUCACUUAGGAUAGAAUAGGACGUAGUCACUUAGGAUAGAAUAGGCUUACAGGACUGAUAUAUACUAAUAACAAUACAUAAAUUAUAAAAUUCUUGGGCCCCUAAAUUUUUUGGGCCCUGGGCGGUCGCCCUGGUUGCCCUCCCUCUGGGCCGGGCCUGAUCUUAAUCCUCGUGAUGAAUAUGGUGAAUCCGUAGCUUCUAAUAUCAGUUCUUCUAAUAUCAGUUCUUCAUUGCUUCUUCUAAGGAAUCUACAGUACCUCGAUCUCAGUGAUAAUAUAUUUGGCAUUUCAAUUCCGAGUUUCAUUGGUUCCCUUGCAAACUUAGUUCACCUUGAUCUUUCCGGUUCUGAGUUUCAGGGAGCAAUUCCAGAUGAGCUUGGGAAUCUCUCCAAGCUCAGUUUUCUCGAUCUUAGCCAUAAUCAACUUGAAGGUAUGAUUACAAACUCCUUUUGUAAUCUGCCAAGCUUGCAAACUGUUGAUUUCUCCUAUAACAAUCUAACUGGGAAUCUUCAAGAAUUCGAACACAAAUCAGUUUUGAGAAGCUUGUCUUUGUCAAAUAAUCAUCUUCAAGGUUCUUUACCUAAUUUCUCAGGAUUUUCAUUCUUAGAGGAAUUAUAUCUUAAUGAUAAUAAAUUUUCUGGGAGUGUUCCUGAUUUUGAUGGAUGUUUGGCAUUGGAAUACUUGGAUCUUAGUGGGAAUCAAUUGACUAGCUGGGAAACUCAAUCAAUAGAACAACUCACUAAUCUUGUUGAGUUAGAUCUUUCAAGGAAUUCGAUCAACAAUACAAUCAAUGAACAUCAUUUGUCCAAACUAUACAGCCUCCACCGGAUAAAUGCAUCAUUUAAUUCUUUGACAUUCAAUAUCAGUUCUGAGUGGCUUCCCCCUUUCAACCUUGCACAGCUUUCUUUGGCAUCAUGCAAGUUGGGGCCAAAAUUCCCCAUUUGGAUCCGAAAUCAAUCUAAAAUCAGAACUCUCGAUUUCUCAAACACCCAAAUUUCAGAUACCAUCCCCAUGUGGUUCUGGGACAACUUUACCCAAAUGAAGACUUUAGAUCUCUCUUCCAACAAAAUCAGUGGCACAUUGCCCACCAUACAAUCACAAACUAUUGAGAUAAAUUUGAGUUAUAAUAACUUUGAAGGACCAUUACCGCUCAUUUCCCCAAAGUGUUCAGAAAUUAAUCUAUCUCAUAAUAAGUUUUCAGGAAAACUUGUAUUAUCUACGACUGAACAUAUGAGGUUGAGGUUCCUUGACCUUUCUCAUAACUUGUUGAUUGGCGAGCUUCCUGAUAGUUGGAAAUAUUUUAAACAUCUCUUGUUUCUUAAUCUUGGAAAUAAUUAUUUUUGGGGUAGAAUUCCUUUGUCUAUAGGGUCUCUACAUUCUCUCAAUAAAUUGAUUUUGAGAAAUAACAGGUUGGAUGGAGAAUUGCCCGAGUCUUUAAGAAAUUGCACCGACCUUGGUUUUGUCGAUUUUGGUUUGAAUGGCCUAUCUGGAACUUUGCCGGCAUGGAUUGGGAAAGAUCUACCUCAGUUGUAUGCUCUAGUUUUGAAAUCCAAUAAAUUUUAUGGGAGCCUGCCUGAUGAUCUGUGUCAUCUCUCACAUCUUCAUUUUCUAGACCUGUCCAUGAACAGAUUAUCAGGAUAUGUUCCCCCAUGCUUCAGUAGUCUAAUUGCUAUGAUUAAUAGUGGAAACAAGGCCUCUGAAUCUCGAGGGUCUCCAUCUCAAGCAUUUCUAUAUCCAAAGAGACAUAUUUGUUACAGUAAAUGUGUGGUGGCUUUCAACCGUGCAAAAUAUAGUUAUGUGGAUGAUGCAUUGGCAGGAUGGAAAGGAAAGGAACGGGAAUAUAGAGGAAAUUUCGCUUACCUUAAGAUGAUAGAUCUUUCCAGCAAUAAAUUUACCGGAGAAUUUCCUACUGGAAUAGCAAGGCUUCUAGAUCUCAAAGGACUGAACCUCUCUAGGAAUCAGUUUUAUGGAAAAGUUCCUGUACAAAUUGGUAGACUAUUUGAGUUGGAAGUUCUUGAUCUGUCCAGUAACAAAUUUUCAGGUGACAUCCCUCGAAGUAUGAC